Molecule: ribosomal RNA, 497 nt
Filed under: uncultured bacterium
Lineage: Bacteria
Description: partial 16S ribosomal RNA
Rfam family: Bacterial small subunit ribosomal RNA
Source: RNAcentral
GAUGAACGCUGGCGGCGUGCCUAAUACAUGCAAGUCGAGCGAACAGAUGAGGAGCUUGCUCCUCUGACGUUAGCGGCGGACGGGUGAGUAACACGUGGAUAACCUACCUAUAAGACUGGGAUAACUUCGGGAAACCGGAGCUAAUACCGGAUAAUAUAUUGAACCGCAUGGUUCAAUAGUGAAAGACGGUUUUGCUGUCACUUAUAGAUGGAUCCGCGCCGCAUUAGCUAGUUGGUAAGGUAACGGCUUACCAAGGCAACGAUGCGUAGCCGACCUGAGAGGGUGAGCGGCCACACUGGAACGGAGACACGGUCCAGACUCCUACGGGAGGCAGCAGUAGGGAAUCUUCCGCAAUGGGCGAAAGCCUGACGGAGCAACGCCGCGUGAGUGAUGAAGGUCUUCGGAUCGUAAAACUCUGUUAUUAGGGAAGAACAAAUGUGUAAGUAACUAUGCACGUCUUGACGGUACCUAAUCAGAAAGCCACGGCUAACUACGUG